GAUGAACGCUGGCGGCGUGCCUAAUACAUGCAAGUCGAGCGGACAGACGAGCAGCUUUCUCGUCGGACGUUGGCGGCAGACGGGGAAGUACAACGUGGUUACCCUCCCUAUGAGCCUGGGUAAACUUCGGGAAGCCGGGGCAAUUCGCGGUUUAUCUAUUGAUCCGCAUGGUUCAGUACGGGAUGGCGUUUUUGCUGUCACUUUUAGAUGGGUCCGCGCCGGCUGAGCUAGUUGGUAAGGUAAGGGCUAUCCAAGGCCAAGAUGCGUAGCCGGCCUGAGAGGGUGAGCGGCCGCACUGGAACUGAGACACGGUCCAGACACCUACGGGAGGCAGGAGGAGGUAAGCUGUAGUGAUGGGCGAAAGCCUGACUGAUGAACGCCGCGUGAGUGAUGAAGGUCUGCGUAUCGUAAAACUCUGUUAUUAGGGAAUAGCGAAUGUGUAGGUAGUUACGCACGGCUUGACGGUACCUAAGCAUAAAGCCACGGCUAACUACGUG
Molecule: ribosomal RNA, 497 nt
Filed under: uncultured bacterium
Lineage: Bacteria
Description: partial 16S ribosomal RNA
Rfam family: Bacterial small subunit ribosomal RNA
Source: RNAcentral